RNAcentral lists this ribosomal RNA (497 nucleotides) under uncultured bacterium. RNAcentral describes it as "partial 16S ribosomal RNA". It matches the Rfam family "Bacterial small subunit ribosomal RNA", at positions 28 to 507 of the family's 1533-position model. The record is from RNAcentral.
GACGAACGCUGGCGGCGUGCCUAAUACAUGCAAGUUGAGCGCUGAAGGUUGGUUCUUGUACCAACUGGAUGAGCAGCGAACGGGUGAGUAACGCGUGGGGAAUCUGCCUUUGAGCGGGGGACAACAUUUGGAAACGAAUGCUAAUACCGCAUAAAAACUUUAAACACAAGUUUUAAGUUUGAAAGAUGCAAUUGCAUCACUCAAAGAUGAUCCCGCGUUGUAUUAGCUAGUUGGUGAGGUAAAGGCUCACCAAGGCGAUGAUACAUAGCCGACCUGAGAGGGGGAUCGGCCACAUUGGGAAUGAGACACGGCCCAAACUCAUACGGGAGGUAGCAGUAGGGAAUCUUCGGCCAUGGACGAGAGUCUGACCGAGCAACGCCGCGUGAGGGAAGAAGGUUUUCGGUUCGUAAAACUCUGUUGGUAGAGAAGAACGUUGGUGAGAGUGGAAAGCUCAUCAAGUGACGGUAACUACGCAGAAAGGGACGGCUAACUACGUG